GACGAACGCUGGCGGCGUGCUUAACACAUGCAAGUCGAACGGAAAGGCCCUGCUUUUGUUGGGUGCUCGAUUGGCGAACGGGUGAGUAACACGUGUGUAACCUGCCCUUGACUUUGGGAUAACUUCAGGAAACUGGGGCUAAUACCCGAUAUGAGCUCCUGCUGCAUGGUGGUGGUUGGAAAGUUUCGGCGGUUGGGGAUGGACUCGCGGCUUAUCAGCUUGUUGGUGGGGUAGUGGCUUACCAAGGGUUUGACGGGUAGCCGGCAUGAGAGGGUGACCGGCCACAUUGGGACUGAGAUACGGCCCAGACUCCUACGGGAGGCAGCGGUGGGAAAUAUUGCACAAUGGGCGGAAGCCUGAUGCAGCAACGCCGCGUGCGGGAUGACGGCCUUCGGGUUGUAAACCGCUUUCGACUGUGACGAAGCGUGAGUGACGGUAAUGGGUAAAGAAGCACCGGCUAACUACGUG
RNAcentral lists this ribosomal RNA (468 nucleotides) under uncultured bacterium. RNAcentral's name for it is "partial 16S ribosomal RNA". It matches the Rfam family "Bacterial small subunit ribosomal RNA", at positions 28 to 507 of the family's 1533-position model. The record is from RNAcentral.